AAACCCAAUAACCCCUCAUCUCUAAAAUUCACCCUAAUUUCCUCUUUUUAAAAGGGGACAUUUCCAAAACCUAAACUUAAUUCUAGAUCCCUUCCCAUAUAAAAAGCUAAGAAAACUGCAGCCAUUCACCCCCAUUUCCAAAAGUUUCAGCCAUUCUCAAAAUUGAAAAAUCAACCAAAGAAGAACAUUCCCCAAAAGAAAAGGAAAGAAAAACGGCAAAAAAACCCCAAUUCCAAAAAAAUAAAAAAAGAACCCAGCGCCUCCCCUUCGGAUUUUCAGAAAUCUUCUCUGAAAAUUGAAAAGGAAAACAAUAACACACAAAAAUAUAAGGUUGAAUAAGAGAUAGAAAGCACGUGGAUUUGUUAUUUUCCGGGAAAAGACGAACAUAAGUACCGUCCUUCAAAUUUUGGUUUUAAAAUGGAGGCCAUCUUCGAGGUUUCUGGUUCAUGCUCAUGAGCAUGAAGCAACUGUAUAUGUGCACUUGAUUUGGAGCUCUAUUGUUAUUUGAUAUAAAAGGAAGAUUCGUCAAAGGUCUAUUCUUUUCCUUUCCUCUGAUUUACUCCCAUGAGUUGUUUAUGUUUGUUUACAAUUCAUACCUUAAUUGUCAUUUUGUGAAUGACUUGUGACUCCUGCAAAUGUGUUGCUUUAUGGGAGUUCCUUUCAUGAAUUAAUGGAUUUCAGAGAAUACAUAGAGGACUUUCUCUCUAUCAUUGUAUUGGAACUCAUUGUGGAAGAAAAGUGAGUAGAUUAUAAGCGGGCUUACAUUUUCAUGCAAUUUUUUUGUUUUUAUCUUCUGAUAGCACAAAAACUACACUAUUAUCCUCUUGGUUUACAAGUGAGUCUUUGCUUUUGAUCUCAUCUUCUUUUGCGUCAAUGAACCUUCUCUAUGUCUAAUGUAUGGGAGUUUAUCUACUUAAAAGCUUAAUCGGGAUGGUAAUUGCUGCUUUGGUUAGAGUUCAAGGUUUCUUAUUUCCCGCCUAGAGUAUAUUCUAUCUUCUUGCUUAGAGUUCCACGCUAAAAUUAUCUUCAGUAGGCCCAAG
RNAcentral lists this long non-coding RNA (1040 nucleotides) under Nicotiana benthamiana. RNAcentral's name for it is "long non-coding RNA (NBEN_LNC026943)". Lineage: Eukaryota; Viridiplantae; Streptophyta; Magnoliopsida; Solanales; Solanaceae. The record is from RNAcentral.